This 482-nucleotide ribosomal RNA is filed under the name uncultured bacterium. RNAcentral describes it as "partial 16S ribosomal RNA". It matches the Rfam family "Bacterial small subunit ribosomal RNA", at positions 29 to 523 of the family's 1533-position model. The record is from RNAcentral.
AAUGAACGUUGGCGGCGUGGAUUAGGCAUGCGAGUCGUGCGAGAAUCGUAGCAAUACGAGGACAGCGGCGCAAGGGAGAGGAAUAAGUAGAAAUCUACCCUCGGGUCGGGGAUAGCGGCGGGAAACUGCCGGUAAUACCCGAUAACGUCUUUGGACCAAAGGUGUGAUUCCGUCUGAGGAUGAGUCUACUUCCUAUUAGCUAGUUGGCGGGGUAAUGGCCCACCAAGGCAACGAUGGGUAGCAGGUGUGAGAGCAUGACCUGCCUCAUUGGGACUGAGACACUGCCCAGACACCUACGGGUGGCUGCAGUCGAGAAUCUUCGGCAAUGGACGAAAGUCUGACCGAGCGACGCCGCGUGCGGGAUGAAGGCCUUCGGGUUGUAAACCGCUGUCGGAGGGGAACAAGUGUACGGGGGUUCUCCCCUGUAUUUGAGUGAACCUAGGAGGAAGGAGAGGCUAAGCUCGUGCCAGCCGCCGCGGUAA